Molecule: ribosomal RNA, 757 nt
Filed under: Brodoa intestiniformis
Lineage: Eukaryota; Fungi; Ascomycota; Lecanoromycetes; Lecanorales; Parmeliaceae
Description: mitochondrial SSU rRNA
Rfam family: Bacterial small subunit ribosomal RNA
Source: RNAcentral
GAGGAAUGUAUAGCAAUAGCUUGCAUCAUUGUAGAGAUUGCAAGAUCAUGUCAGGUAGAAUUAUGAUAAUGACAUUGUCUGCCUAUGUGUCUUGACCAAAUUACGUGCCAGCAGUCGCGGUAAUACGUAGAAGAAGUGUUAUUCAUGAUUAAUCGGUUUAAAGGGUACCUAGACGGUAAAUCAAGCCUAAAAUUAAAUGAAGGGACUAUUUUACUAGAGUUACUUAUGAGGGGGUAUUAAAGUACUGCUGGUGUAGAGAUGAAAUUCUGUCAUACCUCUUUUCAAUAGAAAAAUAAUGGCACAGGUAUAGGCGAAAGCAUCCCCUUAUGUGAUAACUGACGUUGAGGGACGAAGGCUUUGUGUAGCGAACAGGAUUAGAUACCCCAGUAGUCAAAGCAGAAAAUGAUGAAUGUCAUAGAUUAGAUAAGUAAGUUUAUUCUAUAAAUGAAAGUGUAAGCAUUCCACCUCAAGAGUAAUUUGGCAACAUUGGAACUGAAAUCAUUAGACCGUUUCUGAAACCAGUAGUGAAGUAUGUUGUUUAAUUUGAUGAUCCGCAAAAAACCUUACCACAAUUUGAAUAUUUAUAUCUUAUAUUGUUUUCUUAUUUUCUUCUGAAUUUUCUCUUCUAAAGAAAUAAGAAAAAAGAGACAAUAUGAUAUAUUUACGCGUUGCACGGCUGUCUUCAGUUAAUGUCGCGAGACUUUGGUUAGUUCCAUUAAAUUAAAUUUUUAGUAGUUCCCCGCUAGAUUGGAUAUGA